AGAUUCCUGGGAGACUCAAAACCCUGUUCAACUCUCUCUGGGCUAGCUGCUCCCCUCCCCAAGAGGAUUUCUCUCCAGAGCUGGUAUCAUCGCUUAAUGAUGUUCCACCAACAAGGGGAAGGUUUCUUUUCUGGGAGCUGCUAUCACUGAAUACAUAAAGAAAUUGAGCCUAUAUGAUUUCAAUCUUCACCUUCUGAUGCUGAUGAAACAGGAUUCUAUGCAGUUUACAGGGGGCCUGGAGGAAUGAAUCAGUGGCAGUGAGUGACAGAGUGGUCUCAGCAGGAAGAGGUGGAGGCAACGCUGGGAUUUGGAAAUGCCUCUAGAAAAUCCUCUCCAGUCAAGUAAUUGCAUCCAUUUCAUCUUCCCAGCCCUCCUCUAGAUGGGAGGUGGAGGUGUGUGUACCAAUCUCUUAAUUCAGAAAUGAGACAAGAGGAGGAAAAAGGAGUUCCGGAGGACAGUGGGGACCCCAGCCAGAGCCUGGGGACUUGGCUGCCUUGGAACCAGAACCUGGCCCCUCAGAGGAGUUGCAGAAUUUCGAUAGAGGAGUGGCAGGAGGUGUACUGGCUGAAGAGGAGGCCCAAGGAACUCCUUUUCAUACAUCAAAACUGAGCUUAUCACCUCUACCCUGAAGUCAUCCUGGACAUCACUGGUCCCAGUUAAUCACUCACUUAUCUUUGCCAUCCUUGACCUGGGAAGAGAACGUUGCCCUCAUUGGUCUGGAAUCAGCAGGUACCUCAUGGCUGGAGGUGUAUUUUCAGAUGGAGUCUCACUCUGUCACUCAGGCUGGAGUGCAGUGGUGCGAUCUCAGCUUACUGCAACCUCCGCCUCCCGGGUUCAAGUGAUUCUCCUGCCUCAGCUUCCCCAGUAGCAGGGACUACAGGACCACAGACUCCUUUGGCAUCUGGUGAGGCCUGUGGAUUCAUUCUCAGAAUCACAUUUUUAAAUGCACAUAAUAAAAUACAUAGAAUUGCAAAGGAAGUUAAUUAUAUUGAAAUACAGUUAUCAAAAAUAUAAAUAAAACAAGUAUGUGGUACAGUCA
This 1039-nucleotide long non-coding RNA is filed under the name Homo sapiens (human). RNAcentral's name for it is "uncharacterized LOC107985792 (LOC107985792)". The record is from RNAcentral. Lineage: Eukaryota; Metazoa; Chordata; Mammalia; Primates; Hominidae.